Drosophila melanogaster (fruit fly) is the source of this 22-nucleotide non-coding RNA. NCBI's taxonomy places the organism in Eukaryota, Metazoa, Arthropoda, Insecta, Diptera, Drosophilidae. The record is from Ensembl.
UCGGUGGGACUUUCGUCCGUUU